This 497-nucleotide ribosomal RNA is filed under the name uncultured bacterium. RNAcentral's name for it is "partial 16S ribosomal RNA". It matches the Rfam family "Bacterial small subunit ribosomal RNA", at positions 29 to 508 of the family's 1533-position model. The record is from RNAcentral.
AUGAACGCUGGCGGCGUGCCUAAUACAUGCAAGUCGCGCGAACAGAUAAGGAGCUUGCUCCUUUGACGUUAGCGGCGGACGGGUGAGUAACACGUGGGUAACCUACCUAUAAGACUGGGAUAACUUCGGGAAACCGGAGCUAAUACCGGAUAACAUUUGGAACCGCAUGGUUCUAAAGUGAAAGAUGGUUUUGCUAUCACUUAUAGAUGGACCCGCGCCGUAUUAGCUAGUUGGUAAGGUAACGGCUUACCAAGGCAACGAUACGUAGCCGACCUGAGAGGGUGAUCGGCCACACUGGAACUGAGACACGGUCCAGACUCCUACGGGAGGCAGCAGUAGGGAAUCUUCCGCAAUGGGCGAAAGCCUGACGGAGCAACGCCGCGUGAGUGAUGAAGGGUUUCGGCUCGUAAAACUCUGUUAUUAGGGAAGAACAAAUGUGUAAGUAACUGUGCACGUCUUGACGGUACCUAAUCAGAAAGCCACGGCUAACUACGUGC